RNAcentral lists this ribosomal RNA (397 nucleotides) under uncultured bacterium. Its description in RNAcentral is "partial 16S ribosomal RNA". It matches the Rfam family "Bacterial small subunit ribosomal RNA", at positions 338 to 732 of the family's 1533-position model. The record is from RNAcentral.
CCUACGGGUGGCUGCAGUGAGGAAUAUUGGUCAUUGGGCGCAAGCCUGAACCAGCCAAGUCGCGUGAAGGAUGACUGUCCCACGCAUUGUAAACUUCUUUUAUCAAGGAAUAAAAUGAGGCUCGUGUGCCUUUUUGUAUGUACUUUAUGAAUAAGCAUCGGCUAACUCCGUGCCAGCAGCCGCGGUAAUACGGAGGAUCCGAGCGUUAUCCGGAUUUAUUGGGUUUAAAGGGUGCGUAGAUGGGCUGUUAAGUCAGUUGUGAAAGUUCGCGGCUCAACCGUAAAAGUGCAAUUGAUACUGGCAGUCUUGAGUACAGUGGAGGUAGGCGGAAUGCGCAGUGUAGCGGUGAAAUGCUUAGAUAUCACGAAGAACUCCGAUUGCGAAGGCAGCAUACCAA